GUACCUGCAGCCUCUCUGAGCUGUGGUUCCCCCGCCCCCCACUCAUUAACCCUGUGGGAUGUGGUCAGCCAGGUCUGUCCUCCUCAGAUCUGAUCUCGCUCCGCUCACUCUCUAGGUUCAGCGUCCCCUUCUCCCCUUGGCCUGGGAGGUCCCAGCGUCCUCCUCCCUCUGGGUCCCAGCCUCUCAGCAAGAACACUUACUCCGCUGAUGGUCCAUGGGACCCUGUGGGACCCUGUGGGACUUGGUCAGCCUUGCCCUGGGCUCCCGUCUCAGCUUCCUCAUGCAGAGCUGUGGCCCUGACCCCCUCCUGGGCCUUCUCCGUUGGCCUGGCUGUCCUGCUGUCCAUCAUCAGUGCAGGCACCUGGCUGAAAUCUGUCUUGAUCUCUUUCUCUUUUUCACUGAUGUUCUUAUCCGUUUUCUAAUCUUGUCCUGCCUCCAACUUCUCCUUUAUGUUGUCUUCAAAUGUAAUUUUAUAAACUUCAAAUGGCAUAGAUAGAACAAAGCCGGAAUCAGCCGUGAUCCGGGAUGUCAGAGGGCAGGAUGCCCAACCUCUGCCCUGGGCUCACAGUUGAUGCCAAAUUGGAGACCCAGGUGCUCCUGGACAUUCAUGUGUGGCACCCUGACCUCAUGUCUCAUUUCUGUGCCCACUUGAUCUCCCCCUCAUUUGACCUGCUUGCUUGGAGGGUGGUGUCUAUGAGCAGCGUCUCCACGGAGGGAUGACAGGUGAAUGGGCUGAGUGAACGAGGAAGGAGAGGAGGAAAGUGGGUCUCCUCCCAGGGCUGUAGCUGGAUCUCACACAGGAGGGGGCACCUGUGCAGGGCAUCUUCUGCCCCUCAGUUCCCACUGGGUGCCCCCUGUAGGUCACUGACCCUUCUCUGGAGUCAUUUUAAAGGGGGUCAAGUUUUCUACUCCAUGGUGGAAAAUGCUGAGAACAUGAUUGCAGAGAGUAAAAACAGAGGGGCGACCCUGCAGUCCAUCAUUACAGUUGUAACUUAUGUAACCACAAAUGUAAGAACCAAUUGACUGAGGUGUGAACACACUUUGUGAGGUGCACAGGGUGAUCGGCAGGGUCAGAAUGGAAGGAGGGAACUGUAGGGAAUGACAGGCCCUGGUGAGGAGGGGCCAGGGGUUUGCUGAUCCUGUGUCUGACAGUUUGGGCACAGGUGGCCACAGGCAAAGGGGCCCCUCCUGAGCCAGGAUGCUUUAGGGCA
This 1211-nucleotide long non-coding RNA is filed under the name Marmota monax (woodchuck). The record is from RNAcentral. Lineage: Eukaryota; Metazoa; Chordata; Mammalia; Rodentia; Sciuridae.